Molecule: unclassified non-coding RNA, 344 nt
Filed under: Hevea brasiliensis (rubber tree)
Lineage: Eukaryota; Viridiplantae; Streptophyta; Magnoliopsida; Malpighiales; Euphorbiaceae
Source: RNAcentral
ACGCCAACCGGCCAUGUCCUUUGGAUGCUCUCUGGGCUCCUUACGAUCUGUUGCAGACACCAUUCGCUCUUGAAUCUUAGAAAGUUUACAGAUUGGUAGAGUUCUAUAUAUCAAAUAAGAAACAUUGCAUAUAUAAUUUUUUUGAAGGUAAAAUUUUUGUGGUGUUCAAUGAAGGCAGAGGAAAGGUUGUGUACUUUCGUUUAUAGAUUACACAACCAUUGACAGACCUUAGAGCUUGCUUAAUUCCUGUUUUUGGGGCUUGUCCGUCCCUGAGAACAGUAAUAUUUAUUACUUCUAAUAUAUAAAAAAGUACGAUUGAUGAAACUGUAUAAAGGGUUUAUUCA